This 484-nucleotide ribosomal RNA is filed under the name uncultured bacterium. RNAcentral's name for it is "partial 16S ribosomal RNA". It matches the Rfam family "Bacterial small subunit ribosomal RNA", at positions 30 to 507 of the family's 1533-position model. The record is from RNAcentral.
AUUGAACGCUGGCGGCAGGCCUAACACAUGCAAGUCGAGCGGAUGAAGGGAGCUUGCUCCUGGAUUCAGCGGCGGACGGGUGAGUAAUGCCUAGGAAUCUGCCUGGUAGUGGGGGAUAACGUCCGGAAACGGGCGCUAAUACCGCAUACGUCCUGAGGGAGAAAGUGGGGGAUCUUCGGACCUCACGCUAUCAGAUGAACCUAGGUCGGAUUAGCUAGUUGGUGGGGUAAAGGCCUACCAAGGCGACGAUCCGUAACUGGUCUGAGAGGAUGAUCAGUCACACUGGAACUGAGACACGGUCCAGACUCCUACGGGAGGCAGCAGUGGGGAAUAUUGGACAAUGGGCGGAAGCCUGAUCCAGCCAUGCCGCGUGUGUGAAGAAGGUCUUCGGAUUGUAAAGCACUUUAAGUUGGGAGGAAGGGCAGUAAGUUAAUACCUUGCUGUUUUGACGUUACCAACAGAAUAAGCACCGGCUAACUUCGUG